GAGUUUGAUCCUGGCUCAGGAUGAACGCUAGCGGCAGGCUUAACACAUGCAAGUCGAGGGGCAUCGGGAGGGAAGCUUGCUUUCCUUGCCGGCGACCGGCGCACGGGUGAGUAACACGUAUGCAACCUGCCCUCUUCAGGGGGACAACCUUCCGAAAGGGAGGCUAAUCCCGCGUAUAUCGGUUUCGGGCAUCCGAGAUCGAGGAAAGAUUCAUCGGAAGAGGAUGGGCAUGCGGCGCAUUAGCUUGACGGCGGGGUAACGGCCCACCGUGGCGACGAUGCGUAGGGGUUCUGAGAGGAAGGUCCCCCACACUGGUACUGAGACACGGACCAGACUCCUACGGGAGGCAGCAGUGAGGAAUAUUGGUCAAUGGGAGAGAUCUUGAACCAGCCAAGCCGCGUGAGGGAAGACGGCCCUAUGGGUUGUAAACCUCUUUUGUCGGAGAACAAAACCCGGGACGUGUCCCGGACUGCGUGUAUCCGAAGAAAAAGCAUCGGCUAACUCCGUG
RNAcentral lists this ribosomal RNA (508 nucleotides) under uncultured Bacteroidales bacterium. RNAcentral's name for it is "bacterial SSU rRNA". It matches the Rfam family "Bacterial small subunit ribosomal RNA", at positions 9 to 507 of the family's 1533-position model. The record is from RNAcentral. Lineage: Bacteria; Pseudomonadati; Bacteroidota; Bacteroidia; Bacteroidales.